GUGGGGAAUAUUGCACAAUGGGGGAAACCCUGAUGCAGCGACGCCGCGUGAAGGAAGAAGUAUCUCGGUAUGUAAACUUCUAUCAGCAGGGAAGAUAAUGACGGUACCUGACUAAGAAGCCCCGGCUAACUACGUGCCAGCAGCCGCGGUAAUACGUAGGGGGCAAGCGUUAUCCGGAUUUACUGGGUGUAAAGGGAGCGUAGACGGCGCAGCAAGUCUGAUGUGAAAGGCAGGGGCUUAACCCCUGGACUGCAUUGGAAACUGCUGUGCUUGAGUGCCGGAGGGGUAAGCGGAAUUCCUAGUGUAGCGGUGAAAUGCGUAGAUAUUAGGAGGAACACCAGUGGCGAAGGCGGCUUACUGGACGGUAACUGACGUUGAGGCUCGAAAGCGUGGGGAGCAAACAGGAUUAGAAACCCGAGUAGUCCC
This 426-nucleotide ribosomal RNA is filed under the name uncultured bacterium. RNAcentral's name for it is "bacterial SSU rRNA". It matches the Rfam family "Bacterial small subunit ribosomal RNA", at positions 354 to 797 of the family's 1533-position model. The record is from RNAcentral.